This 374-nucleotide ribosomal RNA is filed under the name uncultured organism. RNAcentral describes it as "bacterial SSU rRNA". It matches the Rfam family "Bacterial small subunit ribosomal RNA", at positions 526 to 896 of the family's 1533-position model. The record is from RNAcentral.
CGGGGGGAGCAAGCGUUGUUCGGAUUUACUGGGCGUAAAGGGCGCGUAGGCGGCCACCGCAAGUCGACUGUGAAAUCUCCGGGCUUAACUCGGAAAGGUCAGCCGAUACUGCGGGGCUAGAGUGCAGAAGGGGCAACUGGAAUUCUCGGUGUAGCGGUGAAAUGCGUAGAUAUCGAGAGGAACACCUGCGGCGAAGGCGGGUUGCUGGGCUGACACUGACGCUGAGGCGCGAAAGCUAGGGGAGCGAGCGGGAUUAGAUACCCCGGUAGUCCUAGCCUUAAACGAUGAAUGCUUGGUGUCUGGGGUUUUAUAGUCCCCGGGUGCCGUCGCUAACGCUUUAAGCAUUCCGCCUGGGGAGUACGGUCGCAAGACUG